This 496-nucleotide ribosomal RNA is filed under the name uncultured bacterium. Its description in RNAcentral is "partial 16S ribosomal RNA". It matches the Rfam family "Bacterial small subunit ribosomal RNA", at positions 29 to 507 of the family's 1533-position model. The record is from RNAcentral.
AUGAACGCUGGCGGCGUGCCUAAUACCUGCAAGUCGAGCGAACAGACGAGGAGCUUGCUCCUUUGACGUUAGCGGCGGACGGGUGAGUAACACGUGGAUAACCUACCUAUAAGACUGGGAUAACUUCGGGAAACCGGAGCUAAUACCGGAUAACAUGUUGAACCGCAUGGUUCAACAGUGAAAGACGGUCUUGCUGUCACUUAUAGAUGGAUCCGCGCCGCAUUAGCUAGUUGGUAAGGUAACGGCUUACCAAGGCAACGAUGCGUAGCCGACCUGAGAGGGUGAUCGGCCACACUGGAACUGAGACACGGUCCAGACUACUACGGGAGGCAGCAGUAGGGAAUCUUCCGCAAUGGGCGAAAGCCUGACGGAGCAACGCCGCGUGAGUGAAGAAGGUCUUCGGAUCGUAAAACUCUGUUAUUAGGGAAGAACAAAUGUGUAAGUAACUAUGCACGUCUUGACGGUACCUAAUCAGAAAGCCACGGCUAACUACGUG